RNAcentral lists this small nucleolar RNA (93 nucleotides) under Theobroma cacao (cacao). RNAcentral describes it as "Small nucleolar RNA snoR8a". It matches the Rfam family "Small nucleolar RNA snoR8a". Lineage: Eukaryota; Viridiplantae; Streptophyta; Magnoliopsida; Malvales; Malvaceae. The record is from Rfam by way of RNAcentral.
GAGUUAGCGAUGAUUAUAAAAAUAAUUCCUCAUUCUAAUUUCUUUAAUUUAUACAUGAUAAACCUCUUAUUACACCUAUAGAAUUUGAGCUAU